UUUAAUUUUGGGAAGAAAUGGUGCAAUUACGUGAUCGGAAUCGACCGGCGGAUUGGCCGGAGCUAAUCGGCCGUUGCGUGGUCUCUCUCAUGCUUGUUUUACUAACUCAAUCUACUCAAUUUCUAGUUCCUCAGUUCUUCUCCGAUUUCUCCGUCUUCCUUCAACUCCUAAUUUCGGCCUUGCUGCUUCUAGCAGUUUCAGCCACUGCGGGAUGGUGCAGGCGGCUUCUUCGAGUCCGUGCGUCAGCUCCAGCUUUCGUUUUCUUCAGUAUACUUUUUAUUUGGAUGGUUUACACAGCUAUUGUUCGACAAGCUGCUUCGCACUUGAUGGAUCUUCUGUUUAAUGGGCAGACGGUCUUUCUCAUUUUUGGCCUUUGUAGGAUGCUAUCCAGUGAUCCUGGUUUGGUGUCAUAUAGACCACCCCCUUCGGAUGUAAUUGCCCAAAGUUUAGUUUYAGAAACUGACACUCACCAUCAGGAAACAGAAUGUUUAACGAUUAGUCCUCAUCUCAUGCAUUCGACUGAAGCAGAUAUUGGAUUGGGUAAUAGGGUGAGAUGCUGCCAGAUCUGCAAAGCAUAUGUUAAAGGCUUCGACCACCACUGUCCUGCAUUUGGAAACUGUAUUGGGCAUAAAAAUUAUCUCCUCUUCAUGGUUCUACUAAUUGGAUUUCUCUGGACUGAAGCUACUUACUUAGUGUGCUUAUCUCAAUAUGUGGCGAAGUCUGAGGUUCCUGAUGGUGAUGGAACUAGGUUAGAGAAUAGUUUCUCAAGAAAAGUGGUUUUGAGCACAAUGCUAUUCUCCAUUCUACAAUUAGUAUGGCAGGUGGUGUUCUUAGUGUGGCAUUUGUAUUGUAUCUGCUUCAACAUCAGAACAGAUGAAUGGAUUCACUGGAAGAGGUAUCCAGAAUUUCAAAUUUUUGUCCAGUCUGAGCAGGGCCAAAGGUCUGGUGAAAUAAGGUUCAAAAACCCAUAUCACAAAGGAGUUUUACAGAAUGUCAAGGAGUUUAUAGCGUCAAAACGGUGAAACUGGUUCUUUCUAGCCUCAUAACUUGUAUAUUCUUACCAGCUAYCGAGUUUCGAAAUCGAAGGAGCAACUUUCUAUCUACCAAAAAAGAGAUUCAAAUUGAUUGAAGCAACCAUAGCUAAAAAGUAGUCUCUCUCUCAAAUUUGGUAACCAUCACAUGAGCAUUGUUACAAGAUCCUACGUUGAAAAAAAAAGACUUUACAAAAGUUUACGAAAUCCCAUGAAUAUUGAUAUGACAUCUAGUAAAAAUAUCGAUGAGUUGAAGAGAACCACGAUCUUGAAGGGAUAUGUUAGGGACUCUGCAUGUUUAGAAUAGACACGGUUUUGAGAUGGAACCCUACGAAUAUUGAUAAAUACGGUGGAUGCUGACCUUACAAAAAUUAAUGAUUUCAUUUGGGAAGCCUUCAAUCUUUCGAAUCACUAAACGGGGCAAUGCACCUUUUGGUGGGCGGAGAGCAGCUUUUUGCAUGACAGUAUCAGAAGUUUGGUAGCCUGUUUCUCCUUUUUUCCGAUGGUAUGGAUUCUUUUGAGAAGUGGUGUUGUUUAUUUUUCGUAUUCUGAAUAUAUAUUGGUGACGGUCACAAAUUCUAACCAUAGGCUAGGAGAAGAAAUCACAAAAAAUAAUUCAAAAUUGCGUUGUAACUUCUUUGUCAUCGUGCUUUCUACGCUAUGCAGUUGUUGAGUCAUGCUAUACAAAUGCCAUUUUUCAAUUCAAUAUUCAUAU
This is an RNA transcript of Momordica charantia (bitter melon), 1746 nucleotides long. It is a transcript of the gene named putative protein S-acyltransferase 4, with no coding region annotated. The record is from RefSeq and is a predicted model, not a curated record. NCBI's taxonomy places the organism in Eukaryota, Viridiplantae, Streptophyta, Magnoliopsida, Cucurbitales, Cucurbitaceae.